RNAcentral lists this ribosomal RNA (682 nucleotides) under Myxococcus sp. RNAcentral describes it as "bacterial SSU rRNA". It matches the Rfam family "Bacterial small subunit ribosomal RNA", at positions 60 to 724 of the family's 1533-position model. The record is from RNAcentral. Lineage: Bacteria; Pseudomonadati; Myxococcota; Myxococcia; Myxococcales; Myxococcaceae.
AGUCGAGCGCGAAUAGGGAAACCUUAGUAGAGCGGCGCACGGGUGCGUAACACGUGGAUAAUCUGCCUGGAUGCCUGGGAUAACCAGUCGAAAGAUUGGCUAAUACCGGAUAAGCCCACGGUUUCUUCGGAGACUGAGGGAAAAGGUGGCCUCUGUAUACAAGCUAUCACAACCAGAUGAGUCCGCGGCCCAUCAGCUAGUUGGCGGGGUAAUGGCCCACCAAGGCAACGACGGGUAGCUGGUCUGAGAGGACGAUCAGCCACACUGGAACUGAGACACGGUCCAGACUCCUACGGGAGGCAGCAGUGGGGAAUUUUGCGCAAUGGGCGAAAGCCUGACGCAGCAACGCCGCGUGUGUGAUGAAGGUCUUCGGAUUGUAAAGCACUUUCGACCGGGACGAAAACCCGUAGCCCAACACGCUACGGCUUGACGGUACCGGGAGAAGAAGCACCGGCUAACUCUGUGCCAGCAGCCGCGGUAAUACAGAGGGUGCAAGCGUUGUUCGGAAUUAUUGGGCGUAAAGCGCGUGUAGGCGGCGUGACAAGUCGGGUGUGAAAGCCCUCAGCUCAACUGAGGAAGUGCGCCCGAAACUGUCGUGCUUGAGUGCCGGAGAGGGUGGCGGAAUUCCCCAAGUAGAGGUGAAAUUCGUAGAUAUGGGGAGGAACACCGGUGGCGAAGGCGG